This is a non-coding RNA of Hyaena hyaena (striped hyena), 1674 nucleotides long. The record is from the annotation of a RefSeq genome assembly. NCBI's taxonomy places the organism in Eukaryota, Metazoa, Chordata, Mammalia, Carnivora, Hyaenidae.
UGUCUGUCUGUCUCUCUCUCUCUCUCUCACCUGCAGGUGCCUCAGGGCAGCAGAGCUCAGACCCUAACCUGCCCUCUGCCAGCCACGCAGCCAGUCUCCUUCCAGCGGGCGCAGCAGGGAGGCCACCCUGGGCUUCUCGCCACCAGGUGGGCAGCAGAGCCAUGCUGGGUCCCCUCGCCGUCCUGUGCGCCCUCCUGCUUCCUGGUGGCGUGGCAGCGCUCAGCAUGGAGCAGCCGGCUGUGGUCGUGGGGCGCCGGGGCAGCUCGGCCACCGUGUCCUGCACAGCCAGCACCUCGGUCAGCUACAUCCACUGGUACCUCCACCAGGAAGGGAGUGCCCCCAAGAGGAUCCUCAUGCUCGAUAUGUCCAGGUUCUAUGUGCAGAGAUAUGGAGGCUUCAGAGCGGACAAAAUCACCGCCAAGAAAGGCAAGGAUAGCUACAGCUGUGACCUGAUGCUGCUGAAGCUGGAGAAGAGUGACGAAGGCGUGUAUUACUGCGCUGCCUGGGAGAGCAGUGGGUGGGGUAGCUGGGCCCACAAAGUAUUUGGUCCUGGCACGCUGCUCAGGGUCACAGAUAAAAAUCCUAAUGAAGACACUCCCCUCAAACCAACAAUUUUUCUUCCUUCAAUUGCUGAAGUAAAACUUCAUAACACUGGAACGUAUCUUUGUCUUCUUGAGGAUUUUUUCCCUGAUGUUAUCGAGAUAGAUUGGAAAGAAAAAAAUGGCAAAACAGUUCUGCAAUCCCAGCAGGGAAACACCAUGAAGAUGAAGGACACAUACAUGAAAUACACCUGGCUGACUGUGCGUGAAGAGUCAAUGGAUAAAGAACACAAAUGUAUCGUCAAACGUGAGAAGAAUAAAGGAACCAUUGAACAAGAGAUUCUUUUUCCAUCCAUAAACACAAGUUUGGCGGAGGCGAAACAAUCCGAAGUGGAUCCCGAGGGGCGUUCAGACACAAGGCGAAACACUGGGGUGGUAACUGUGAGCCCUGUGGGUUCUCUGUCGUCCUCACCGGUGUCCUGGGCUGCGGACUUUGCUGCUAUUAACUACACAAAAGCUUCUCUGGAAGAUGAAAAUGACCCCCUGCAGCUGCAGCUCACGAGCACCUCUGCCUACUACACCUACCUCCUCCUCCUGGCCAAGAGCGUGGUCUACACCAUCCUCAUCGCCAUUGCUCUGCUUGGGAGAGCAGCGCUGCGAGACAGCGGGAAGAGUUCCUAACUCAUGGGGCACCAAGGGUCCACUUUUCUUCAUCAACUAUUGUCACUAAAAGUGUCUGCUGAGGAUCGAGCGGGGCUUCCUUUCUGGGUUUGGGGCAUUUCAGUUCACGGGUGUCUGCUUCUAUUGUGUCACUAUUGCAGAGCGGGUUCACACACCCCUGGGCAAACGGGAAAGGUCACUCUGCACCAAGAACAGAGUCUGCCGUGACUCAGGGUGGGGGGCAUCCACGGGGUUUCAGCACCACUCUCUCCUCACUGUCCACCAGCUCCUCAGCCACCUGGCACCAGGAACUCUGAGCACAGCCAGUGGGCAGCUUCCCUAGCAUCCCCUGGGGCUUUUUAUCCAGAUACCUGCCUAGGGGCCUUUAUUUUACAUUUCUGGAAGCUGCCAUCUUUCCUACCUGAAUGUUGUACUGUUUGUAACAACAGGCACAAUAAAAACAAUCAAAAACCUA